AUUGAACGCUGGCGGCAGGCCUAACACAUGCAAGUCGAGCGGAGCGGCGGACGGGUGAGUAAUGCCUAGGAAUCUGCCUGGUAGCGUGGGAUAACGUCCGGAAACGGGCGCUAAUACCGCAUACUAUCAGAUGAGCCUAGGGCGGAUUAGCUAGUUGGUGGGUUAAAGGCCUACCAAGGCGACGAUCCGUAACUGUUCUGAGAGGAUGAUCAGUCACACUGGAACUGGGAAACGGUCCGGACUCCUACGGGAGGCAGCAGUGGGAAAUAUUGGACAAGGAGCGAAGGCCUGAUCCAGCACGGCCGCGUGUGUGAAAAAGGUCUUCGGAUUGUAAAGCACUUUAAGUUGGGAGACGUUACCAACAGAAUAAGCACCGGCUAACUUCGUGCCAGCAGCCGCGGUAAUAC
RNAcentral lists this ribosomal RNA (407 nucleotides) under uncultured bacterium. RNAcentral's name for it is "partial 16S ribosomal RNA". It matches the Rfam family "Bacterial small subunit ribosomal RNA", at positions 30 to 526 of the family's 1533-position model. The record is from RNAcentral.